UACGUAGGGACCGAGCGUUGUCCGGAAUCAUUGGGCGUAAAGAGCGUGUAGGCGGCUUGCUAAGUCUUGCGUGAAAUCCCGGGGCUCAACCCCGAGCGGUCGUGGGAAACUGGCAGGCUAGAGUGCGGGAGAGGAGAAUGGAAUUCCUGGUGUAGCGGUGAAAUGCGCAGAUAUCGGGAGGAACACCUGUGGCGAAGGCGGCCCCCUGGUUGGAUACUGACGCUGAUACGCGAAAGCGUGGGGAGCAAACAGG
RNAcentral lists this ribosomal RNA (253 nucleotides) under uncultured bacterium. Its description in RNAcentral is "partial 16S ribosomal RNA". It matches the Rfam family "Bacterial small subunit ribosomal RNA", at positions 524 to 776 of the family's 1533-position model. The record is from RNAcentral.